Molecule: ribosomal RNA, 252 nt
Filed under: uncultured bacterium
Lineage: Bacteria
Description: partial 16S ribosomal RNA
Rfam family: Bacterial small subunit ribosomal RNA
Source: RNAcentral
UACGUAGGUGGCAAGCGUUGUCCGGAUUUACUGGGUGUAAAGGGUGCGUAGGCGGUUUUUUAAGUUAGUGGUUAAACGUCGGGGCUUCACCUUGAUUUGCCAUUAAUACUGUAAGACUCGAGUUCAGACGAGGUAGGCGGAAUAAGUUAAGUAGCGGUGAAAUGCUUAGAUAUAACUUAGAACUCCGAUAGCGAAGGCAGCUUACCAGACUGCGACUGACGCUGAAGCACGAGAGCGUGGGUAGCGAACAGG